This 524-nucleotide ribosomal RNA is filed under the name Aspergillus flavus. RNAcentral's name for it is "eukaryotic LSU rRNA". It matches the Rfam family "Eukaryotic large subunit ribosomal RNA", at positions 52 to 580 of the family's 3401-position model. Lineage: Eukaryota; Fungi; Ascomycota; Eurotiomycetes; Eurotiales; Aspergillaceae. The record is from RNAcentral.
GGAGGAAAAGAAACCAACCGGGAUUGCCUCAGUAACGGCGAGUGAAGCGGCAAGAGCUCAAAUUUGAAAGCUGGCUCCUUCGGGGUCCGCAUUGUAAUUUGCAGAGGAUGCUUCGGGUGCGGCCCCUGUCUAAGUGCCCUGGAACGGGCCGUCAGAGAGGGUGAGAAUCCCGUCUGGGAUGGGGUGUCCGCGCCCGUGUGAAGCUCCUUCGACGAGUCGAGUUGUUUGGGAAUGCAGCUCUAAAUGGGUGGUAAAUUUCAUCUAAAGCUAAAUACUGGCCGGAGACCGAUAGCGCACAAGUAGAGUGAUCGAAAGAUGAAAAGCACUUUGAAAAGAGAGUUAAAAAGCACGUGAAAUUGUUGAAAGGGAAGCGCUUGCGACCAGACUCGCCUCCAGGGUUCAGCCGGCAUUCGUGCCGGUGUACUUCCCUGGGGGCGGGCCAGCGUCGGUUUGGGCGGCCGGUCAAAGGCUCCCGGAAUGUAGUGCCCUCCGGGGCACCUUAUAGCCGGGAGUGCAAUGCGGCC